Molecule: unclassified non-coding RNA, 763 nt
Filed under: Hevea brasiliensis (rubber tree)
Lineage: Eukaryota; Viridiplantae; Streptophyta; Magnoliopsida; Malpighiales; Euphorbiaceae
Source: RNAcentral
GAAAAAGAUAGUUUUUUGAAGAGACUUUUGAGGGAUAGUAGGGAUGAAGACGUGAGGAAAUCAGCGGAAAAGGAUGAUGCAGAACCGGAGAGGGAUGGUUUUUUUAAGAGGUUUUUAAGAGAGAGUCGGGAUGAUGAUAGUAGGAAAUCAGUGGACAAAGAUGAAGAGGAGUCGGAAAAAGAUGGAUUUUUUCGCAGACUUCUUAGUAAUAGUAAAGAUGAUUAUGCUAGGAAAUCUGUGGAUAAGGAUGCAGAGGAAUCAGAGAAGGAUGGUUUCUUCAGGAGGCUUUUGAGUACCAACAAAGAUGAUGAUGAGGAUGUGCACUCAAGUACAGAUGGAUUUUUCAAACGUAUGUUUCGUGAUAAUAAAAAUGAUUUGGAGGAUAAAGUAGUUUCCAAACCUGUUGAAGAUGAUGAAAAAGACGGUUUUUUCCGGAAGUUUUUAAAGGACAAAAAAUUUGAGGAGAAGAAGGAUGUAAGAGAAAGGAAUGAAACACCUGAAAAAUCAACAAGGAGUUCUGAAGAUGAUGAAAAGGAAGGGUUCUUCAAAAAGAUUUUUAAGGAAAAAUUUGAGGAUAAGAAAGAUGGUAAUGACAGGGCUGAUGACGAUCUUAGGAGGCAUGCAAAUGGUGAGGAAGAAGAGCCUUCAGAUUUUCCAUUGUUUCGUAGACUAUUUCGAGUGCAUCCAGAGGAUUCAAAACUGUCAGCAUCAAAUGAAAGCAGUAAUGGUGGCAGUUUUCUUGAGAGCAGUCCUGGAACUGAGA